Molecule: ribosomal RNA, 465 nt
Filed under: uncultured bacterium
Lineage: Bacteria
Description: partial 16S ribosomal RNA
Rfam family: Bacterial small subunit ribosomal RNA
Source: RNAcentral
GAUGAACGCUGGCGGCGUGCUUAACACAUGCAAGUCGAACGGAAAGGCUCCUGCUUGCAGGGGUACUCGAGUGGCGAACGGGUGAGUAACACGUGGGUGAUCUGCCCUGCACUUCGGGAUAAGCCUGGGAAACUGGGUCUAAUACCGGAUAGGACCACAUUUUGGAUGGUGUGGUGGAAAGUUUUUCGGUGUGGGAUGAGCUCGCGGCCUAUCAGCUUGUUGGUGGGGUAAUGGCCUACCAAGGCGUCGACGGGUAGCCGGCCUUAGAGGGUGUACGGCCACAUUGGGACUGAGAUACGGCCCAGACUCCUACGGGAGGCAGCAGUGGGGAAUAUUGCACAAUGGGCGCAAGCCUGAUGCAGCGACGCCGCGUGGGGGAUGACGGCCUUCGGGUUGUAAACUCCUUUCGCUAGGGACGAAGCGCAAGUGACGGUACCUGGAGAAGAAGCACCGGCUAACUACGUG